This 229-nucleotide ribosomal RNA is filed under the name uncultured bacterium. RNAcentral's name for it is "partial 16S ribosomal RNA". It matches the Rfam family "Bacterial small subunit ribosomal RNA", at positions 103 to 334 of the family's 1533-position model. The record is from RNAcentral.
CGGGUGAGUAAUGUAUAGGUAACCUGCCCCGAAGAGCGGGAUAGCGUUUGGAAACGGACGCUAAUACUGCAUAUACCUUCUAAUCACAAGGUUAGAAGGGAAAUGAAUUUCGCUUCGGGAUGGGCCUUUAUCGCAUCAGCUAGUUGGUAAGGUAACGGCUUACCAAGGCUAUGACGCGUAGCUGAUCUGAGAGGAUGAUCAGCCACACUGGUACUGAGACACGGACCAG